RNAcentral lists this ribosomal RNA (700 nucleotides) under uncultured Burkholderia sp. Its description in RNAcentral is "bacterial SSU rRNA". It matches the Rfam family "Bacterial small subunit ribosomal RNA", at positions 61 to 756 of the family's 1533-position model. Lineage: Bacteria; Pseudomonadati; Pseudomonadota; Betaproteobacteria; Burkholderiales; Burkholderiaceae. The record is from RNAcentral.
GUCGAACGGCAGCACGGGGGCAACCCUGGUGGCGAGUGGCGAACGGGUGAGUAAUACAUCGGAACGUGUCCUGUAGUGGGGGAUAGCCCGGCGAAAGCCGGAUUAAUACCGCAUACGCUCUACGGAGGAAAGGGGGGGAUCUUAGGACCUCUCGCUGUAGGGGCGGCCGAUGGCAGAUUAGCUAGUUGGUGGGGUAAAGGCCUACCAAGGCGACGAUCUGUAGCUGGUCUGAGAGGACGACCAGCCACACUGGGACUGAGACACGGCCCAGACUCCUACGGGAGGCAGCAGUGGGGAAUUUUGGACAAUGGGCGCAAGCCUGAUCCAGCAAUGCCGCGUGUGUGAAGAAGGCCUUCGGGUUGUAAAGCACUUUUGUCCGGAAAGAAAACCGCCUGGCUAAUAUCCGGGCGGGAUGACGGUACCGGAAGAAUAAGCACCGGCUAACUACGUGCCAGCAGCCGCGGUAAUACGUAGGGUGCAAGCGUUAAUCGGAAUUACUGGGCGUAAAGCGUGCGCAGGCGGUCCGCUAAGACAGAUGUGAAAUCCCCGGGCUUAACCUGGGAACUGCAUUUGUGACUGGCGGGCUAGAGUAUGGCAGAGGGGGGUAGAAUUCCACGUGUAGCAGUGAAAUGCGUAGAGAUGUGGAGGAAUACCGAUGGCGAAGGCAGCCCCCUGGGCCAAUACUGACGCUCAUGCACGA